UAUUCUCAGGCAUCAGAGGUACAAGCUU
RNAcentral lists this non-coding RNA (28 nucleotides) under Bombyx mori (domestic silkworm). The record is from RNAcentral. Lineage: Eukaryota; Metazoa; Arthropoda; Insecta; Lepidoptera; Bombycidae.